AUUGAACGCUGGCGGCAGGCCUAACACAUGCAAGUCGAGCGGAUGAAGGGAGCUUGCUCCUGGAUUCAGCGGCGGACGGGUGCGUAAUGCCUAGGAAUCUGCCUGGUCGUGGGGGAUAACGUCCGGAAACGGGCGCUAAUACCGCAUACGUCCUGAGGGAGAAAGUGGGGGAUCUUCGGACCUCACGCUAUCAGAUGAGCCUAGGUCGGAUUAGCUAGUUGGUGGGGUAAAGGCCUACCAAGGCGACGAUCCGUAACUGGUCUGAGAGGAUGAACAGUCACACUGGAACUGAGACACGGUCCAGACUCCAACAGGAGGCAGCAGUGGGGAAUAUUGGACAAUGGGCGAAAGCCGAAUCCAGCCAUGCCGCGUGUGUGAAGAAGGUCGUCGGAUUGUAAAGCACUUUAAGUUGGGAGGAAGGGCAGUAAGUUAAUACCUUGCUGUUUUGACGUUACCAACAGAAUAAGCACCGGCUAACUUCGUG
RNAcentral lists this ribosomal RNA (484 nucleotides) under uncultured bacterium. RNAcentral's name for it is "partial 16S ribosomal RNA". It matches the Rfam family "Bacterial small subunit ribosomal RNA", at positions 30 to 507 of the family's 1533-position model. The record is from RNAcentral.